GUUAUUUUCAAAAAUUUGAGCUAUAGUAUCUCUUCUGUGUGAUUGAAGCAGAUGGGCCAGCAUUUGCUCCCCACAUGCAUCGAUGAGUCUUGGCCAGCCAUAACUCUGACACCAGUUCAUUGGCUGUCCUUCCUUGCUUUACUAUUGGUAGGUACUAAUCACUGCAUUUCAGGAACACCACCCAAGACUUGCCAUUUUGGAGAUGCCAUUACUAUUUGGCCCUUUUAGAAGUUACUCAAAUCUUUUUGCUUGACAAUUUUGCCCCUGAUUCCAACAAAUUAAAUUCAAGAACUGACUGUUAACUUGCUUCCUAAUAUAGCCCACCCUUUGACAGAUGCAAUUGUUAUGAUAGAGUCAGUGUUAUUAACUUUACCUGUCAGUGGUUUUAAUGUUGUGGCUGAUUAGUGUAAUGUUGGAAUCAAUUGUGGUAAGGUAUGCUAAACCCUCCUCUGGCAUCACCUAUUACAGGACUGCAUGGCCAAUAUAGGUCAUUCACUGCAUGGGGCAUAUUUUGUAAAACAACUGAAAAAUGAUGACUGUGGGAAAAGAAAUUUAAACAAAAAGAGAUUCCCCAAGCUGUUCGAACAAAUGUUAUGUAUGCCCCUAACAUGGGGUUAAUAGGGAAAUUAUAUUCACAUGACCAUCAGCUGGAAUUUGGGUUAAUGGGGCUUCCAAUAAUCAAGUAGACAUCAAAAACGACACUUGGUAAGAAUGUCCUUUUUGCCUCUGUGCUAAAUCUGCUGAAACUGAAGUUGUUCUUGUUGGUGAUUCAGCAAAUCAGUCUGUGGAUGGCUUCCACUAGGUUAAUGUCGAACAUAAAGUAUCAGCUUAUGCUGACAGCCUCUUAUUUUUUUUUAACAAACCUGCAUAUUCCUCGUGAAUAUUAUUGUGAAAUUUUGGAAUUACUGCAAGUUUAGCAACUUUAAUCUUAGUAUGGAUAAAUCUGAUGUUCUUAGUGUGACCUCACCGGUUGCUUUAAUGACCUUUCUGCAGCAGAAAUUUCCUUUAAGUGGUGCUCUGAUAAUCUGACAUAUUUGGGAGUUGUGGUGCCCUGUGAUCUUACUAUACUUUACUAACUUAAUUUUGUCUCCAUACUCAAUAGAUUCCAAAGUGACAUAAAAAUUAAUUUCUUGGUUAUUAUACCUUUUUCACACUAUUACUGUUCAGUUGCUCAAAACUUACUUCUACUUAUUAAAUUCUGCUCUGCUGAGAUGUGUGUGUUUUUCUUUGCUUAAUGCUACCCAAGUUGCUUGUUUGUCUGUGUCUCCAGUAUUUCCGUGGGUUUUACCAGGCUGUCCAUUAUGCUAAUAUAGUGGAAUGGCAUAAGAUACACUCCCUCAAACAUUGACCAUUGCUAGAAGUUAAAUAUAGCUGACAGAAGAAUCCCAGAGCCAUGCUGGCUAGAUGCUGAGGAAUUUCCUCAACAGAUUCAUUACCAC
Molecule: non-coding RNA, 1439 nt
Organism: Pelobates cultripes (western spadefoot toad)
Lineage: Eukaryota; Metazoa; Chordata; Amphibia; Anura; Pelobatidae
Source: the annotation of a GenBank genome assembly